This 508-nucleotide ribosomal RNA is filed under the name Lactiplantibacillus plantarum. Its description in RNAcentral is "bacterial SSU rRNA". It matches the Rfam family "Bacterial small subunit ribosomal RNA", at positions 17 to 490 of the family's 1533-position model. Lineage: Bacteria; Bacillati; Bacillota; Bacilli; Lactobacillales; Lactobacillaceae. The record is from RNAcentral.
UCCUGGCUCAGGACGAACGCUGGCGGCGUGCCUAAUACAUGCAAGUCGAACGAACUCUGGUAUUGAUUGGUGCUUGCAUCAUGAUUUACAUUUGAGUGAGUGGCGAACUGGUGAGUAACACGUGGGAAACCUGCCCAGAAGCGGGGGAUAACACCUGGAAACAGAUGCUAAUACCGCAUAACAACUUGGACCGCAUGGUCCGAGUUUGAAAGAUGGCUUCGGCUAUCACUUUUGGAUGGUCCCGCGGCGUAUUAGCUAGAUGGUGAGGUAACGGCUCACCAUGGCAAUGAUACGUAGCCGACCUGAGAGGGUAAUCGGCCACAUUGGGACUGAGACACGGCCCAAACUCCUACGGGAGGCAGCAGUAGGGAAUCUUCCACAAUGGACGAAAGUCUGAUGGAGCAACGCCGCGUGAGUGAAGAAGGGUUUCGGCUCGUAAAACUCUGUUGUUAAAGAAGAACAUAUCUGAGAGUAACUGUUCAGGUAUUGACGGUAUUUAACCAGAAAG